GUGCCAGCAGCCGCGGUAAUACGAACCGUACGAACGUUAUUCGGAAUCACUGGGCUUAAAGGGUUUGUAGGCGGCCUUGCAAGUGGGGUGUGAAAUCCCUCGGCUCAACCGAGGAAUAGCGCUCCAAACUGCAUGGCUUGAGGGAGACAGGGGUAAGCGGAACUGAUGGUGGAGCGGUGAAAUGCGUUGAUAUCAUCAGGAACACCGGUGGCGAAAGCGGCUUACUGGGUCUCUUCUGACGCUGAGAAACGAAAGCUAGGGUAGCGAACGGGAUUAGAAACCCCGGUAGUCC
This 292-nucleotide ribosomal RNA is filed under the name uncultured bacterium. Its description in RNAcentral is "partial 16S ribosomal RNA". It matches the Rfam family "Bacterial small subunit ribosomal RNA", at positions 505 to 796 of the family's 1533-position model. The record is from RNAcentral.